UCUGGUUAAACACCAGCAGUCCCAUUAGAGUGCCAAACUUAAUUGGGGCAACUAAUGGUAAGGGUUGCGCUCGUUGCGUCACUUAAGACAACAUCUCACGACACGAGCUGACGACAGCCAUGCAGCACCUGUGCUCUGGUUCCCGAAGGCACAAUCUAAUCUCUCAGAUCUUCCAGACAUGUCAAGAGCAGGUAAGGUUUUUCGCGUUGCAUCGAAUUAAUCCACAUCAUCCACCGCUUGUGCGGGUCCCCGUCAAUUCCUUUGAGUUUUAAUCUUGCGACCGUACUCCCCAGGCGGUCUACUUCUCACGUUAGCUUCGCUACUAAGGUUUUACCCCCAACAGCAAGUAGACAUCGUUUAGGGCGUGGACUAC
This 373-nucleotide unclassified non-coding RNA is filed under the name uncultured Gammaproteobacteria bacterium. RNAcentral describes it as "contains 16S-23S intergenic spacer region". The record is from RNAcentral. Lineage: Bacteria; Pseudomonadati; Pseudomonadota; Gammaproteobacteria.